GACGAACGCUGGCGACGUGCUUAACACAUGCAAGUCGAACGGAAAGGCCCUGCUUUUGUGGGGUGCUCGAGUGGCGAACGGGUGAGUAACACGUGAGUAACCUGCCCUUGACUUUGGGAUAACUUCAGGAAACUGGGGCUAAUACCGGAUAGGAGCUCCUGCUGCAUGGUGGGCGUUGGAAAGUUUCGGCGGUUGGGGAUGGACUCGCGGCUUAUCAGCUUGUUGGUGGGGUAGUGGCUUACCAAGGCUUUGACGGGUAGCCGGCCUGAGAGGGUGACCGGCCACAUUGGGACUGAGAUACGGCCCAGACUCCUACGGGAGGCAGCAGUGGGGAAUAUUGCACAAUGGGCGGAAGCCUGAUGCAGCAACGCCGCGUGCGGGAUGACGGCCUUCGGAUUGUAAACCGCUUUCGCCUGUGACGAAGCGUGAGUGACGGUAAUGGGUAAAGAAGCACCGGCUAACUACGUG
This 468-nucleotide ribosomal RNA is filed under the name uncultured bacterium. RNAcentral describes it as "partial 16S ribosomal RNA". It matches the Rfam family "Bacterial small subunit ribosomal RNA", at positions 28 to 507 of the family's 1533-position model. The record is from RNAcentral.